This 1357-nucleotide long non-coding RNA is filed under the name Vulpes vulpes (red fox). RNAcentral's name for it is "lncRNA (ENSVVUG00000019573.1)". The record is from RNAcentral. Lineage: Eukaryota; Metazoa; Chordata; Mammalia; Carnivora; Canidae.
AAACACUGGACAUGGGCCCUGACAUCCAGGAUUGGAGGAGAUUCCAGAAAAAUGAGAGACUUCUCUGACACCUUUAACCAGGGACGGCAUCUUGGAGCAGAAGCUAGACAGGCUGUGUCAAGCAAGGGUCGAGAUGGUCUAGGGAAAAGCAAGCCUGAGAGGCCUUGGCUCCAAAGUGUGGGUUCCCGUUCUUGGCACCUCUCCACCACUCCUAGGCCCUAUGUGGAACAAUCAAAGCCACAGACAGCUUACCCCCAUUAGGUCUCGGCCUCACUGGGACCCAGUCAUCUCCAGAGAACUGGCACCAGCCCCGGGAGAGGACACAGCUGCAGAAGAAGCUUAUGUUACAGAUAUGGAAAUUGAGUCUGGGAAAGCUGGAGACUCUCCUUCAAGGACACUCAUCAGAUAACUUGGAGACUAUGACUCAGAUUAUGACGGAUGAUCUUGAGGUCUCUUUCUUAUACCGGAGAAGUCGCCACUGAAUUCUGUGAAUUACCCCUGAGGAUCACAGCGAGUUUAUUCUCUGGGCUACUAUACAGGAUUUUGCCGAGGGCUUCCUUCCAUGGCCGGCCACCGGCUUUGCACACACGUCUACCGUGGGCCCUACGCCACAGCAGAGCUGGAGGGGCCGCCGACUCUGCAGGAUGCCCGUGGAUCUCAGGCUCCUGCAAACACCGGCAUCUAAGGAGUUAGCUGGGAGGCCGCCCCGGUGGGAGCCUGCAAGGUGGGGAGACCGAAAAGCCAGUCCUUCACCCCGCUGUGCUGUGUCUCUCUCUGCCUUAGGUGGCUCUCAGAGACUGUAUCUGCCUGUGGCACAGGCCCUUGGCAGACAGGAAGCUACGGGCCAGGACGUAGCUUCUACUGGGUGACCCUGGUCCCUGUGCUUGGGAAACACAGCCUGUGGCCUUUAUCGCGCCAGCCCCGGGAGGCUGGGGUGGUAGCUGCUUCCACCCCAUGCCCCCACCCCCGACCCCUGCUCAGCACCUCUCCCCUUCCUCUAGCUGUCAUCAGUCCCCUGCCUUCACUCCCCUCUGUUGAAAACACUGGAGUUUUAUGUGGAAUUCAAGAAACAAAACAGAGGAGCACAGAAGAAGGUGCGGGGAAUGAAACAAGAUGAAUCAGAGAGGGGGACAGACGGUAGGAGACUCUUAAUCAUAGGAAACACACUGAGGGUUGCUGGAGGGGAGGGGGAAGAGGGGAUGGGGUAAGUGGGUGAUGGGCAUCAAGGAGGGCACAUGACGGAAUGAGCGCUGGGUGUUACACGCAACUGAUGAAUCUCUGAAACCAGUAAUUCACUAUAUGCUAAUUAGAAUUUAAAUUAAAAAAAAAAACAGCACUUGACUGGCUGGACCCUAAC